AUACGGAGGAUCCGAGCGUUAUCCGGAUUUAUUGGGUUUAAAGGGUGCGCAGGCGGAAGAUUAAGUCGGCGGUGAAAUUUUGCAGCUUAACUGUAAAAGUGCCUUCGAAACUGGUUUCCUUGAGUGUAGAUGAAGUAGGCGGAAUUUGUGGUGUAGCGGGUGAAAUGCAUAGAUAUCACGAGGAACCCCGAUUGCGCAGGCAGCUUACUAAACUACUACUGACGCUCAGGCACGAAGGCGUGGGGAUC
This 248-nucleotide ribosomal RNA is filed under the name uncultured bacterium. Its description in RNAcentral is "partial 16S ribosomal RNA". It matches the Rfam family "Bacterial small subunit ribosomal RNA", at positions 523 to 769 of the family's 1533-position model. The record is from RNAcentral.